RNA transcript from Carlito syrichta (Philippine tarsier), 481 nucleotides. It is a transcript of the gene named nucleoside diphosphate kinase B-like, with no coding region annotated. Lineage: Eukaryota; Metazoa; Chordata; Mammalia; Primates; Tarsiidae. The transcript is spliced from 2 exons. The record is from RefSeq and is a predicted model, not a curated record.
AUGGCCAACCUCGAGCACACUGUCAUCACCAUCAUGCCAGACGGCCUACAGCAUGACCUGGUGGACAAGAUCAUCAAGCAUUUUGAGCAGAAGGGAUUCCGCCUCAUGGCCAUGGUUCCUUCAGGCCUGUGAGGAACACCUGAAACAGUACUACAUUUGACCCGAAAGACCACCCAUUCAUCCCUGGGCUGGUAAUGUACAUGAACUCAGGGCCGGUGGUGGCCAUGGAACAUCAUUCAUGGCAAUGACUCAGUUUAAAGUGUUGAAAAACAAAUCAGCCUGUGGUUUAAACCUGAAGAACUGGUUGAAUACAAGUCUUGUGCUUAUGACUAUGUCUGUGAAUAAGAGGUAGACACUACAACAGUCCCUUUCAGCACCGCUUGGUGUGUCCUUGGACACAGUUCUUCAUUCCACUGACUUGGAAGGAAUAGGCUUAAUCAUUCUUUUCUAAGGCAUAUAUACCAAUAAAACCUUUGGAAGC